Molecule: long non-coding RNA, 2870 nt
Filed under: Canis lupus familiaris (dog)
Lineage: Eukaryota; Metazoa; Chordata; Mammalia; Carnivora; Canidae
Description: lncRNA (ENSCAFG00000051437.1, ENSCAFG00845021620.1)
Source: RNAcentral
UUUUUUUUUUUUUUUUUUUUUUUUUUGUUAAAAGAGUUUUAAAAACAAAAACAUUUGUGCCCCCCUUCUUAUACAUUAAAGGGACACUUUUGAGGAUAUGAUUUUGAGAAUUUUGUGUUUUACGAAAUUUCUGUUCAGAUAUAGUAUCUUUUAACUUCUAGUUUUCAGUUCAUUCUUUAUUAUUAGACUUAUUUCUUGUUUUAUUUUCCUUGCACAUUUGUUUCCAAAAAGCACAGUCUCUACAGAGUCCCAAGGCACAAUCAGUAAGGACUUGGUCCAAGUCAGUAAGGACUUGGUCCUUUCACAACUUGUAUCCAUGUAACGGUACAUGUAACUGCAUUCUUGUACCUCUGUGAAAAGGAUUAGUUUUUAUAGUCUUUCUGGGUGGGGGGUUGCCUGAGUAACUAAACUAUUUGGCAGUAUUUGACAGUGUCCUCAACACAGUUAUCCGGGUAUUUCUGCCUUGCCAUCUCUGAAUCUGUUGGAAGAUGGGGGAACAGGGAGCAUGUUAACAUCACUGCAUUGAGUUUUUUUGUUAACAUGUAAAAAACAAAACAAAACUGCAAUAUUUUUAAAAUUUUACGUAUUUAGUCUUAUUUCAUUGUAAACCAUGUAUCUAAUUAUAUACAUUACUCUGUUCAGAUAUGAUGGUUACUACCUUCUUUUUUUUUUUUUUUUCAGUUUUCAUUUCACAACCAAGCAUCUCUAUAACUUCCCCCCAGCCAGCAAUAUUUAACACUCCCUUACUGUCUUUGAUUGAACUUCUUUUAUCAGGAUAUCAAGUAUUUGUCUUUUUAGUAUCACCAUAUUUCUCAUUUCUGUUAAUACUUGUAUGAAUCCCUCAAGUAUUGAAGGGAACUAGCUUUCAUUUUCAAGGAUUUCAGGUUUGAGAGUCCUAGUAUUCAGUGUCAGUUAAAUCUUUAAACUCUUCUGUCUGUUACAGUUCUACUUGUUUCUGUUGGCCACUUCUGUCAUUAGAGGUGGUUGUCAUUAGACCUUACUUAAGUUAGCUGUCUCUGACAGAUAAUUACCAUUAUUGGUUCCUGAAUAAAAUAUUAGCUGUUAAGACAGAAGGGAACCUCAGAACUUCUUAGUGUUUUGUUUUGUUUUCUAAACAGAAUAGGGAACUGUUUGGAUAUGAGUUUUUAACAUAAUUUUCUAUAAAUUCUUCUACAAAACAGCAUAGCUGAUUUGAGGAUGUAAUAAGGUUUUAAAUUAUUUAAAAAUGUGAGUGGGUAUGCUCUCAUUUGGUAAAACACUGCAUUUAAGAAUUCUUUAAAAAGUAAUUUCCUAAAAUAAAAAAAAAUGUCCAAAUUAGGUAUAUUGCUGAGCUCAAAUUAAUUUGAAGUGCCCUGGCUAAAGCUGAACUUUAAAUAUUUAAAUUUAGUUGUGAGAAGUGUGAAAUAUUCUUGACUGUUGAUAAUGGAAACCCAUGACAUACUUAGCCAAAGAAUAUAUUUGGUUCAGGUAAAGAUAUAAACCUAAUACUGAGUAUCCAUUCUUUUUUUUUUUUUUUUAAAGAGGAUGGAUGAAAUCAUGUUUCUGGCCUAUAGCUCUACUUUGGAAAGACUGGAAUAUUGUAUGACAGCUUCAGUGGUGAUUGGGAGGUACAGCUGGUACAUUAGACUCCCUGAGACUCACACCAAAAAACAUCUUCUUUCACCUCACCCACUGGGGUUUGCUUUCACUUACUUAUUCCAGGCCUUCCCACCAGUGGAGAGAUUUUUUUUUUUUUCUUUUCAGUCUAUAUUCUUAGGCCUCUUAGCUAUUAGGAGCUAUCAAAUGUGUACUAAUAGCUAUUUUCCUAGCCUGAAAUUAAAAAUACUGCAUCCGCACUAUGUACCUGAUGGGGAUCUGACCUCAAGUGUGUUCUGAGCCCAGGCUUCCUGGUGUGGUGUCUUUGUUACCACAUAAAAUUAUGACAAAUUGCAAAUACUGGUAUUGUGAUUUGGUUCUCUGUACAAAGAAAGAAGCUCCAUGCAGUGAGUUUGUGGUUUAAUGGUCACAAAAUGUUAGCACUGCUACCAUUCAGCACGUGUAAAAUUUUUUAAAUUUAUAAAUAUUAAAAUUUUAAACUUACACUGACUUUUCAGUUUUUUUUAAGAGACCCAGGGAUGAGUAUACUGUUUAAAUAUUUACCUCUAUUAACAUUACUAAUAAAGGUAUAAAAUUGCAUUUAAUUUUUCAAAAGAUGCUACAGUAUGAUUUUAGGAAAUAAAUCAAGGCUAUGUAUUGAGCCAGUUACAAGCUGAAUAUCACAUUGAUAAAAUUUUAUUUGUAUUUUUUAAAUCCAUAAAUGGGACUUAAAUGUGUCUUUUCACUAAAUAUUUUUAUUACAUUUUUGUUUUGACCAUGUGUGAUUUGUUCAUGGGUAUUUAGCUAGACUAUUUUAUGAAGCUUAUUGAAAUGGUGCUAGUUCAUUUACAAUCAUAGGACAUUUGACACUGGGGAUAUUACACAAUCAUAAAAUAAUUUUAGAUAAAAAAACAUGAAACAUAUCUGUAUAAAGAUUUGCAUUACCUCCUGGGAAAACACCUAAACCCUAAUGAGUAUUCAGAAUUCAGAAAGAAAAAGUUUUGUGUAUAUUCUGUAAUAUUGAGCAUAUUUAUUUUUUAUUUCACCUUACAGUCUUAGAAACAUUUUCAGAGUUAUUAGUUAAAUCACUGGAUUUGGGUAUAUUUGUAGUAAAUAUUUUUAGUAGUUUGGGUCAUUCUUUUUUGUCCUUUCAGGAAAAGUGGAAAAUUACUAUCCUGCUCUGUGUUAGACUUACAAACUUUUACCCUUCACCCAAUCUAAAAUCUUGUAAACAUGUGCAGUGAAAGUUAAUUUUUUUAAGAAAAGGAAAUGCUUGAAAUAUAUUUAUUUUAAAC